This 324-nucleotide ribosomal RNA is filed under the name Boophis reticulatus. Its description in RNAcentral is "partial 16S ribosomal RNA". It matches the Rfam family "Bacterial large subunit ribosomal RNA", at positions 2210 to 2597 of the family's 2925-position model. Lineage: Eukaryota; Metazoa; Chordata; Amphibia; Anura; Mantellidae. The record is from RNAcentral.
GCACCCACUUAUUUAACACCUUCUUAUCCGCCUGGCCCCUGUCUGCUCGGUUUUGGGUUGGGGUGACCGCGGAGCAUAAAAUAGCCUCCACGAAAGAAGGGAUGAUUCCCUCAUUUUAGAACUACACUUCCAAAGACUAACAAAUUAAUUUUAAGUGAUCCGAUACCCGUAUUCGAUCAACGAACCAAGUUACCCUGGGGAUAACAGCGCAAUCUACCUCAAGAGCCCCUAUCGACAGGUGGGUUUACGACCUCGAUGUUGGAUCAGGGUAUCCCAGUGGUGCAGCAGCUACCAAAGGUUCGUUUGUUCAACGAUUAAAACCCU